This is a long non-coding RNA of Actinia tenebrosa (Australian red waratah sea anemone), 1316 nucleotides long. NCBI's taxonomy places the organism in Eukaryota, Metazoa, Cnidaria, Anthozoa, Actiniaria, Actiniidae. The record is from RefSeq and is a predicted model, not a curated record.
CAUUUCUAAAAAUCACAUAAAAAAACAUAUAUAAGUAUAUACCACAGGAGAUACAUUAGUACAUACAUUAGUACAUACAUUAGUAUAUACCUACAUACACUAGUAUGUACCAUUAGUAUAUACCACUUGAACACUACACAGCAAUGAGUGAUUACACUUGCACACUACAUGCGCAAAGCAAUGAGUGAUUACACUUGUACACUACAUGCGCAAAGCAAUGAGUGAUUACACUUGUACACUACAUACGCAAAGCAAUGAGUGAUUACACUUGUACACUACAUGCACACAGCAAUGAGUGAUUACACUUGCACACUACAUGCACACUGCAAUGAGUGAUUACACUUGUACACUACAUGCGCAAAGCAAUGAGUGAUUACACUACGUGCACACUGCAAUGAGUGAUUACACUUGUACACUACGUGCACACUGCAAUGAGUGAUUACACUUGCACACUACAUGCGCAAACCAUGAGUGAUUACACUUGCACACGUCACCACAUGCACACUGCAAUGAGUGAUUACACUUGCACACUACAUGCGCAAAGCAAUGAGUGAUUACACUUGUACACUACAUGCGCACAGCAAUCAGUGAUUACACUUGCACACGUCACCACAUGCACACUGCAAUGAGUGAUUACACUUGUACACUACGUGCGCACAGCAAUGAGUGAUUACACUUGUACACUACAUGCGCAAAGCAAUGAGUGAUUACACUUUCACCACGCAAAAAUCACUAUUAGUUUACAUGUGGAUAACUUUUUAACAUAUCAUUCCUUACUUUUUGUUUUGGUGCGCUGCAGCUGAUCAAAGGAGUACCCGUACCGUUUGAACCCAUUCCCUCAGGACUACAUUCGUAACACGACAGUGAUACGUUAGAUGCUGAAAGGUUCCUGACACAUCUGCUGUUGGCCGGCUUCAGUACACAUCAUGCCUCCUAUUAUACAGUUCCGCGUUUUCAUGGUCAUUCCCAUAUGGUCUAGCGGUUAGGAUUCCUGGCUUUCACCCAGGCGGCCCGGGUUCGACUCCCGGUAUGGGAACAUUGGUUUUUAGGGGACUUAUAUAGGGCUAACCUCAAUGUCUUCCUUUUCAAAAUAUGUAAUCUGCAUUUUUUUGAAUAAAGUAUUAUUAUUUUCAUCAUUGCACCACCACCACCCGGCAUCUCCAUCAUGGUACGUAAUGUAUAGCAUCGAUCAUUGGGGGCUGGACAGGUAACCUGGGUUGGGGACUGACAACUGUUUGGACCCGUACUGUAUGCUUGACAGACGUUGCAUUCGAUACUAUAUCCUGAGAAAUAAAAAAUCUUUAUUUUAAUCUUUA